Lemur catta (Ring-tailed lemur) is the source of this 467-nucleotide long non-coding RNA. RefSeq lists it as uncharacterized. The transcript has 3 exons. The record is from RefSeq and is a predicted model, not a curated record. Lineage: Eukaryota; Metazoa; Chordata; Mammalia; Primates; Lemuridae.
UUAAGGUGACACCACUGCACUCUAUCCAGGGUGACAGAACAAGACUCUGUCUCAAAAAAAAAAAAACCAUCAAAUAACAUCCCAGGAGGAAGUCUUCAAGAGUAAAUACAGCAGAGGAGUGAACUGAAGCCCCAGAAGUUUGAUCUUUGCACCUGGUCAUAUGGCUGGGAAGGAUAACGAGUUGAACUCCCUAACCAAUUACACGGGGAAGUUUGUGAUGAAUGUUCUACGUCUGUGGUCCCCAACCUGUUAACUGGGCUGCAGAGCAGGAGCAGGUGGAAUUCUGACAUCUGAAUCUAUUCUUCUCAAGCAAGAAACAUAUGGUCCCAGGAAAACCUGCAAAUCCAUGAACUGUGUGUGUGAGCGGGGAAGGAACGGACCCCUGAGGAUGGCCAGUUCUUCCUGCUCUUAGCUGCCCAGUGCCCUUACAGCUGGCUCUGUUCUGGAGUGAGAAAAACUGUGUUGAG